AUUGAACGCUGGCGGCGUGCCUAACACAUGCAAGUCGAGCGGUAACAGGUGUAGCAAUACAUGCUGACGAGCGGCGGACGGGUGAGUAACGCUUGGGAAUCUGCCUAUUAGUGGGGGACAACCCGGGGAAACUCGGGCUAAUACCGCAUACGCACUACGGUGGAAAGCCGGGGACCGCAAGGCCUGGCGCUAACAGAUGAGCCCAAGUCGGAUUAGCUAGUUGGUAGGGAACGGCCUACCAAGGCGACGAUCCGUAACUGGUCUGAGAGGACGACCAGUCACACCGGAACUGAGACACGGUCCGGGACUCCUACGGGAGGCAGCAGUGGGGAAUAUUGGACAAUGGGCGAAAGCCUGAUCCAGCGACGCCGCGUGGGUGGAAGAAGGG
RNAcentral lists this ribosomal RNA (388 nucleotides) under uncultured bacterium. RNAcentral describes it as "bacterial SSU rRNA". It matches the Rfam family "Bacterial small subunit ribosomal RNA", at positions 29 to 415 of the family's 1533-position model. The record is from RNAcentral.